UGGGGAAUAUUGCACAAUGGGCGAAAGCCUGAUGCAGCGACGCCGCGUGAGGGAUGACGGCCUUCGGGUUGUAAACCUCUUUCGACAGGGACGAAGCGUAAGUGACGGUACCUGUAGAAGAAGCACCGGCCAACUACGUGCCAGCAGCCGCGGUAAUACGUAGGGUGCGAGCGUUGUCCGGAAUUACUGGGCGUAAAGAGCUUGUAGGCGGUUUGUCGCGUCGUCUGUGAAAACUCACAGCUCAACUGUGAGCUUGCAGGCGAUACGGGCAGACUUGAGUACUGCAGGGGAGACUGGAAUUCCUGGUGUAGCGGUGAAAUGCGCAGAUAUCAGGAGGAACACCGGUGGCGAAGGCGGGUCUCUGGGCAGUAACUGACGCUGAGAAGCGAAAGCGUGGGUAGCGAACAGGAUUAGAUACCCUGGUAGUCCACGCCGUANCGGUGGGUACUAGGUGUGGGUUUCCUUCCACGGGAUCCGUGCCGUAGCUAACGCAUUAAGUACCCCGCCUGGGGAGUACGGCCGCAAGGCU
RNAcentral lists this ribosomal RNA (529 nucleotides) under uncultured bacterium. Its description in RNAcentral is "bacterial SSU rRNA". It matches the Rfam family "Bacterial small subunit ribosomal RNA", at positions 355 to 895 of the family's 1533-position model. The record is from RNAcentral.